RNAcentral lists this ribosomal RNA (430 nucleotides) under uncultured bacterium. Its description in RNAcentral is "bacterial SSU rRNA". It matches the Rfam family "Bacterial small subunit ribosomal RNA", at positions 355 to 776 of the family's 1533-position model. The record is from RNAcentral.
UGGGGAAUCUUGCGCAAUGGGGGAAACCCUGACGCAGCAACGCCGUGUGAGUGACGAAGGCUUUCGGGUCGUAAAGCUCUGUCAGAUGGGAAGAAUUAGUUUGCUGAAAAUAUCGGCAAAUGAUGACGGUACCAUCAAAGGAAGCACCGGCUAACUCCGUGCCAGCAGCCGCGGUAAUACGGAGGGUGCAAGCGUUGUUCGGAAUUAUUGGGCGUAAAGCGCGUGUAGGCGGAUAGAUAAGUCAGGCGUGAAAUCCCUUGACUCAAUCAAGGAACUGCACUUGAAACUAUUUAUCUCGAGUACGAUAGGGGAGGGUGGAAUUCCCAGUGUAGAGGUGAAAUUCAUAGAUAUUGGGAGGAACACCAGUGGCGAAGGCGACCCUCUGGAUCGAUACUGACGCUGAGACGCGAAAGCGUGGGUAGCAAACAGG